Molecule: ribosomal RNA, 251 nt
Filed under: uncultured bacterium
Lineage: Bacteria
Description: partial 16S ribosomal RNA
Rfam family: Bacterial small subunit ribosomal RNA
Source: RNAcentral
UACGGAGGGGACUAGCGUUGUCCGGAAUUAUUGGGCGUAAAGGGCUCGUAGGCGGUUUGUCGCGUCGGGAGUGAAACUCAGGGCUUAACCCUGAGCCUGCUUCCGAUACGGGCAGACUAGAGGUAUGCAGGGGAGAACGGAAUUCCUGGUGUAGCGGUGAAAUGCGCAGAUAUCAGGAGGAACACCGGUGGCGAAGGCGGUUCUCUGGGCAUUACCUGACGCUGAGGAGCGAAAGUGUGGGAGCGAACAGG